RNAcentral lists this ribosomal RNA (253 nucleotides) under uncultured archaeon. RNAcentral's name for it is "partial 16S ribosomal RNA". It matches the Rfam family "Archaeal small subunit ribosomal RNA", at positions 474 to 727 of the family's 1478-position model. The record is from RNAcentral.
AACCAGCACCUCAAGUGGUCAGGAUGAUUAUUGGGCCUAAAGCAUCCGUAGCCGGCUCUGUAAGUUUUCGGUUAAAUCUGUACGCUCAACGUACAGGCUGCCGGGAAUACUGCAGAGCUAGGGAGUGGGAGAAGUAGACGGUACUCGGUAGGAAGUGGUAAAAUGCUUUGAUCUAUCGAUGACCACCUGUGGCGAAGGCGGCUAGCUGGGCCGGAUCUGACGCUCAUCCGCGAAAGCGUGGGGAGCAAACAGG